CACAUGCAGUCGAGCGGUAGCACAGAGAGCUUGCUCUCGGGUGACGAGCGGCGGACGGGUGAGUAAUGUCUGGGAAACUGCCUGAUGGAGGGGGAUAACUACUGGAAACGGUAGCUAAUACCGCAUAACGUCGCAAGACCAAAGUGGGGGACCUUCGGGCCUCAUGCCAUCAGAUGUGCCCAGAUGGGAUUAGCUAGUAGGUGGGGUAACGGCUCACCUAGGCGACGAUCCCUAGCUGGUCUGAGAGGAUGACCAGCCACACUGGAACUGAGACACGGUCCAGACUCCUACGGGAGGCAGCAGUGGGGAAUAUUGCACAAUGGGCGCAAGCCUGAUGCAGCCAUGCCGCGUGUGUGAAGAAGGCCUUCGGGUUGUAAAGCACUUUCAGCGGGGAGGAAGGCGUUAAGGUUAAUAACCUUGUCGAUUGACGUUACCCGCAGAAGAAGCACCGGCUAACUCCGUGCCAGCAGCCGCGGUAAUACGGAGGGUGCAAGCGUUAAUCGGAAUUACUGGGCGUAAAGCGCACGCAGGCGGUCUGUCAAGUCGGAUGUGAAAUCCCCGGGCUCAACCUGGGAACUGCAUUCGAAACUGGCAGGCUAGAGUCUUGUAGAGGGGGGUAGAAUUCCAGGUGUAGCGGUGAAAUGCGUAGAGAUCUGGAGGAAUACCGGUGGCGAAGGCGGCCCCCUGGACAAAGACUGACGCUCAGGUGCGAAAGCGUGGGGAGCAAACAGGAUUAGAUACCCUGGUAGUCCACGCCGUAAACGAUGUCGAUUUGGAGGUUGUGCCCUUGAGGCGUGGCUUCCGGAGCUAACGCGUUAAAUCGACCGCCUGGGGAGUACGGCCGCAAGGUUAAAACUCAAAUGAAUUGACGGGGGCCCGCACAAGCGGUGGAGCAUGUGGUUUAAUUCGAUGCAACGCGAAGAACCUUACCUGGUCUUGACAUCCACAGAACUUACCAAAGAUGCUUUGGUGCCUUCGGGAACUGUGAAACAGGUGCUGCA
RNAcentral lists this ribosomal RNA (1001 nucleotides) under Klebsiella quasipneumoniae. RNAcentral describes it as "bacterial SSU rRNA". It matches the Rfam family "Bacterial small subunit ribosomal RNA", at positions 52 to 1045 of the family's 1533-position model. The record is from RNAcentral. Lineage: Bacteria; Pseudomonadati; Pseudomonadota; Gammaproteobacteria; Enterobacterales; Enterobacteriaceae.